RNAcentral lists this ribosomal RNA (376 nucleotides) under uncultured Legionella sp. Its description in RNAcentral is "bacterial SSU rRNA". It matches the Rfam family "Bacterial small subunit ribosomal RNA", at positions 283 to 651 of the family's 1533-position model. The record is from RNAcentral. Lineage: Bacteria; Pseudomonadati; Pseudomonadota; Gammaproteobacteria; Legionellales; Legionellaceae.
UUAGCUGGUCUGAGAGGAUGGCCAGCCACACUGGAACUGAGACACGGUCCAGACUCCUACGGGAGGCAGCAGUGGGGAAUAUUGGACAAUGGGGGAAACCCUGAUCCAGCAAUGCCGCGUGUGUGAAGAAGGCCUGAGGGUUGUAAAGCACUUUCAGUGGGGAGGAGGGUUGAUAGGUUAAGAGCUAAUUAACUGGACGUUACCCRCAGAAGAAGCACCGGCUAACUCCGUGCCAGCAGCCGCGGUAAUACGGAGGGUGCGAGCGUUAAUCGGAAUUACUGGGCGUAAAGGGUGCGUAGGUGGUUUAUUAAGUUAUCUGUGAAAUCCCUGGGCUUAACCUGGGCAGGUCAGAUAAGACUGGUAGACUCGAGUAUGG